UGCAGAUGCUUUUAUUUAACUGCUUUCAAUUUCUAAUUAAUUCUAAUUUCCAAUUCACCUUUAUAGUCCUAAACUGUCUACUGCCAGGAAAUUUUGUAAUGGUAGCAGCCAGGUUUUUCUAGAAAGAGCCAGAUAGUUUUAUCUUUGUGGGCUAUGGAAGCCCUGUGACAACUCAAUUGUUCAUAAACAGUAUGUAAAUGAGCAGUUGUGUCUGUGUUCCAAUAAAACUUUAUUCAGCAAGCAGAUACCAGCUUGUAGUUUGCUCAUUCCUGAUUGAUAGCCUCAGACUGCAUUUUCAGUGUUGCUGCUGUUGUUAUUGGUUGUGAACCUUAGCCUUUAAAGGUUGAGCCAUCGCUCUAUUCCAAUUUUAAAAAUAUUUUAAUUUUUAAGAAUUUAUACAAUGUAUUUAGAUCUUGUUUCACCCCUCCUUCAGUCAGUUUUUCCCAGAUCUACCCCCACUUCCUUAAUUCACUCAACUUUCUGUCCUUUUAGAAAAAAAAAACAUCAUGUAGUCUAAUUUGUGUUGCCCAAAUACUCUUGGGUCUGGGCCUCCCCUGAAGUGUGGUUAUUCUACCAGAAGCCACAUUCUUUUAAAAAACAAACAAACAAACAAACAAACAAACAAAACAAACAAGCAAACAGAUUUUUCCUCCUCCAGCAGCUAUUAAAUGGUAAUAGCUCUUCCACUAGGAGUGGGACUUCAUGACUCCUGCCCUCGCUCCCUAGUGCUGGGAUUUGUCUGGUUUGAGGUUGCACAGGCAUUGUGAAUGCUGUGACAGCUGCUGUGAGUUCAUACGUGCAGCUUCCCUGUUGUGUUUGCAAAGCACUGUUUACUUGUAGUCAUUACCACCUCUGGCUCUGCAAAUCUUUCUGUCCCAUUUUCUGUGAGCCUUGUGGGGAGGAGUGUGGUAUAGAUUUCCCAUCUAGGGCUGAACACUUCAUACUCUAAUUCUCUGCAUGUUGGUCAGUUAUGUGUCUCUGUAUUGAUUCUCGUCUACUGCAAGAAGAAACUUCUCUGAUGAGGAUUCAGAGAUGCACUAAUCUAUAGGUAUAACAAUAAGCCAUUAGGAAUCAUUAUAAUAUUAUGUCCAAUUAAUAAAAUGAUAGAAGUAGGGUCUUUCUUAGGGCCUUUAACUUGUCUAGUCAUAAAGUUUUGGUUCUGAUAACUGUGCUAGAUAUGGAUUCCAUCUCAUGGAGUGGGUCUUAAAUCCAUUCAGAAAGUGGUUACAUUCAUGUAAGUGAUAAGUGGUAGCAUUCAUGCCAUUCAUUAUUGUACCAGUGGGCACAUGCUGCCAAGACAGUUGUGGAUCACAGGGGUCAUGGUGGAUAAGACUGAGGAUUACUGUCUUGUCUGGUAGUGAGCAUAGCACCUUUCCACACUGUGAAAUCUAGCCAGUAGGAAUGAACCUUUUCAAGGUUAGGACCCACCUGUUUUUCUCUGUGUUUUUAUGACUCAAGUGAUGGUAUUUUCAGUAAUAGGGUCUUAUCAGCAAAUUCUGAAGGGCAACCAAGAACAAUGUGAAUGUAAUGUUUGAGUGACCCGACAACUCAAAAGAGGUUUUUUGGUUUUUGUUUGUUUGUUUGUUUUUUCAGCUUUGCUGUAUUGUUAAAUCAGUUUCCCUGAUAUUCCUCCCUGUUUUUAUUUUUGUUUUUUGUUUUUUCGAGACAGGGUUUCUCUGUAUAGCCCUGGCUGUCCUGGAACUCACUUUGUAGACCAGGCUGGCCUCGAACUCAGAAAUCCACCUGCUUCUGCCUCCCGAGUGCCACCAACCGCCUGGCUUAUUCCUCCUUGUUUUGAGUGUCACUACUGAGGCAGUGAAUUAAUUUAUUCUUGAUAAAUAAAGAUGACUCUGUCUCCUUGUUUUCUGUGAUGAUGAAAAUGGUGUCUUAACUAAGAUUAUAUUUGAGAUAUUUAGCUGAAAACUCAAGAACUUAUGAUUUAAAAAGAUAGCGAUUUUCUUCCAUAGGAAGGAUUGGUAUCAGCAGGCUGGUGAUACCAGGGAGUACCAUGCUCCAGUAGCAGCCCAGUGGAGGAUGGAAACUCAGCUUCCAGCUAUUUUUUUUAUUUUUUAUUUUUUAUUAUUUUUUAUUUUUAAACUCUGUCCCUACUGUUCUUAGGAUGAGGGCUUCCCUCUCAAGGUCACUUUUGAAAGCAAAAUACUUGCUGCAGGGGCCAGCCAGGGGCCACUGGGUGCCUCUGAGUUUCCUGUGAGAAUGCUGCUGGAGGCUACUGGUGAUGUCAGCCUAACUUGCUCUGCUGCCCCAGCUGUGCAUUGUUCUUAUCUGGGUCUCAUCAGCUGGGGAGAGAGCUAGGUCUGCACUAGGAGAGGUGGCCUCAGGUGCAAGUUUCUUUUUAUUUGGGUGCCUGCCUAAGUGCCUUUGUGUGCUUGUGUGUUUUGUUCACAAAAUAUGGCUCAUGCAUGCCAUAGCAUGUGUGUGGAGAUCAGAGGACAACUUGAAGGAGUCAGUUUCCUGCUACUGUCAUGUGGUUCUUGGGGACUGAACUUAAGUCAAACGGCUGCCAUCUCGUUGGCCCUCAGGAUGAUUUUGAAAGGAAAUUUAUUUUAAGUACUGUGGUGGUAGUCUCCAGCUUUUUUUUUUUUUUUUUUUCCCCGAGACAGGGUUUCUCUGUGUAGCUCUGGCUGUCCUGGAACUCACUUUGUAGACCAGGCUGGCCUCGAACUCAGAAAUCUGCCUGCUCUGCCUCCCUAGUGGUGGGAUUAAAGGCAUGCGCCACCACUUCGUCGUUUUGAUAACCUGCUGGGUUGUUUGUUCCAUGUCUGGGCGUCCUGGACUGGAAAGGUAGAGUGGUCGGAUGCUGUGCUGCAGUCCUUCCUUGCCUCCAGUUCUUCUUUUUCAUACUGGAUCCUUUCCCCACCCCCAAUAUAUUCUGAUCAUAGUUUCUUCUUCUCUAACUCUUCCCAGGUCCUUCCUACCUCUCUACCCACCCAAUUCCACACCCUCCCACUUUAGAAAGCAAAUGGGCAAACAGC
RNAcentral lists this long non-coding RNA (2993 nucleotides) under Mus musculus (house mouse). RNAcentral describes it as "long non-coding RNA chr1:87897539-87900532". The record is from RNAcentral. Lineage: Eukaryota; Metazoa; Chordata; Mammalia; Rodentia; Muridae.